Molecule: long non-coding RNA, 321 nt
Filed under: Sorghum bicolor (sorghum)
Lineage: Eukaryota; Viridiplantae; Streptophyta; Magnoliopsida; Poales; Poaceae
Description: long non-coding RNA (SBIC_LNC017403)
Source: RNAcentral
GGUGAUAGACGAGGAGCAAAGUGAUCAAGGCAAGGGUAUAAACAUAGGGUUUUACUUUUGCCGGUCUAAGAUGAGUAGAGAAGUGAUUGACCGGGUUUAGGAUAGAUAGCCGACUAUCAAGAGGGGAAAUCACGGUUAUCUCUCGAAUCAAGUGCUACUAGGUCCAUGUCUUGAGCAUAUGCAUUAGGAUCUAGUAAAGUGCUAACUUAACUCCUUUGGUGAAAAUAUUUGUGAAAAGCUAACACACUUGCACUUUGGUGGUGGACACUUGUUGGUGUUAGCACAUUUCCAAAGGAGGUGGAGUUCCUAGGGUUGAGAGGG